GACAGAGGGUGCAAACGUUGCUCGGAAUCACUGGGCGUAAAGGGCGUGUAGGCGGGAGAGAAAGUCGGGCGUGAAAUCCCUGGGCUCAACCCAGGAACUGCACUCGAAACUUCUUUUCUUGAGUGCCGGAGAGGAAAGCGGAAUACCUGGUGUAGAGGUGAAAUUCGUAGAUAUCAGGUGGAACACCAGUGGCGAAGGCGGCUUUCUGGACAGUAACUGACGCUGAGACGCGAAAGCGUGGGGAGCAAACAGG
RNAcentral lists this ribosomal RNA (253 nucleotides) under uncultured bacterium. Its description in RNAcentral is "partial 16S ribosomal RNA". It matches the Rfam family "Bacterial small subunit ribosomal RNA", at positions 524 to 776 of the family's 1533-position model. The record is from RNAcentral.